RNAcentral lists this long non-coding RNA (237 nucleotides) under Lathyrus oleraceus (garden pea). Its description in RNAcentral is "Pisum sativum (pea) long non-coding RNA (PSAT_LNC007193)". The record is from RNAcentral. Lineage: Eukaryota; Viridiplantae; Streptophyta; Magnoliopsida; Fabales; Fabaceae.
AAUUUUAAAUCCAAAUGAAAACACCACAUAUGAACAACCCCCCACUAUAGCAACUGAACAACCAUCUGAACCACCAACACAACCACCAACUUCUGAAACUGUUCCAACUAACCCUUACCCAAACCAACUAUAAGACUCUUAUUUUGAUACAAUCCUUUACACCCCCCUUUCUUUCACACUCACCAUCCCUGAAGCUCGUGCCUUUCCAUAAGACACACCAACACCACCAACUCCACC